Molecule: ribosomal RNA, 450 nt
Filed under: uncultured bacterium
Lineage: Bacteria
Description: bacterial SSU rRNA
Rfam family: Bacterial small subunit ribosomal RNA
Source: RNAcentral
AACAAACGCUGGCGGCAUGCCUAACACAUGCAAGUCGAACGAAGUCUUCGGACUUAGUGGCGCACGGGUGCGUAACGCGUGGGAAUCUGCCCUUGGGUGCGGAAUAACUUCUCGAAAGGGAUGCUAAUACCGCAUAAUGUCGUAAGACCAAAGAUUUAUCGCCCAAGGAUGAGCCCGCGUAAGAUUAGCUAGUUGGUGGGGUAAAAGCCUACCAAGGCGACGAUCUUUAGCUGGUCUGAGAGGAUGAUCAGCCACACUGGGACUGAGACACGGCCCAGACUCCUACGGGAGGCAGCAGUGGGGAAUAUUGGACAAUGGGCGAAAGCCUGAUCCAGCAAUGCCGCGUGAGUGAUGAAGGCCCUAGGGUUGUAAAGCUCUUUUACCAGGGAUGAUAAUGACAGUACCUGGAGAAUAAGCUCCGGCUAACUCCGUGCCAGCAGCCGCGGUAAU